Echinostoma caproni is the source of this 45-nucleotide non-coding RNA. NCBI's taxonomy places the organism in Eukaryota, Metazoa, Platyhelminthes, Trematoda, Plagiorchiida, Echinostomatidae. The record is from Rfam.
GCACGGCUGACGAGUCCGGAACAGGACGAAACAGCUGUCCAGUGA